Molecule: ribosomal RNA, 465 nt
Filed under: Vreelandella stevensii
Lineage: Bacteria; Pseudomonadati; Pseudomonadota; Gammaproteobacteria; Oceanospirillales; Halomonadaceae
Description: partial 16S ribosomal RNA
Rfam family: Bacterial small subunit ribosomal RNA
Source: RNAcentral
CCUACGGGCGGCUGCAGUGGGGAAUAUUGGACAAUGGGGGCAACCCUGAUCCAGCCAUGCCGCGUGUGUGAAGAAGGCCCUCGGGUUGUAAAGCACUUUCAGUGAGGAAGAACGCCUGGUGGUUAAUACCCAUCAGGAAAGACAUCACUCACAGAAGAAGCACCGGCUAACUCCGUGCCAGCAGCCGCGGUAAUACGGAGGGUGCGAGCGUUAAUCGGAAUUACUGGGCGUAAAGCGAGCGUAGGUGGCUUGAUAAGCCGGUUGUGAAAGCCCCGGGCUCAACCUGGGAACGGCAUCCGGAACUGUCAAGCUAGAGUGCCGGAGAGGAAGGUAGAAUUCCCGGUGUAGCGGUGAAAUGCGUAGAGAUCGGGAGGAAUACCAGUGGCGAAGGCGGCCUUCUGGACUGACACUGACACUGAGGUGCGAAAGCGUGGGUAGCAAACAGGAUUAGAUACCCUGGUAGUC